ACCGUUCCGAAGUCGUAAAACUACGGAUAGAUUGAGGAGCAACCUCGUAAAAAAGCGUA
RNAcentral lists this non-coding RNA (59 nucleotides) under human gut metagenome. Its description in RNAcentral is "GP20-b RNA". It matches the Rfam family "GP20-b RNA". The record is from RNAcentral.